RNAcentral lists this ribosomal RNA (484 nucleotides) under uncultured bacterium. RNAcentral describes it as "bacterial SSU rRNA". It matches the Rfam family "Bacterial small subunit ribosomal RNA", at positions 28 to 511 of the family's 1533-position model. The record is from RNAcentral.
GAUGAACGCUAGCGGCAGGCUUAACACAUGCAAGUCGAGGGGCAGCACGUCUUCGGAUGGUGGCGACCGGCGCACGGGUGCGUAACGCGUAUAGAACCUACCUUUUACAGGGGAAUAGCCCAGAGAAAUUUGGAUUAAUGCCCCAUAGUAUUAUUAGAUGGCAUCAUUUGAUAAUUAAACAUUUAUGGGUAAAAGAUGGCUAUGCGUUCUAUUAGCUAGAUGGUAAGGUAACGGCUUACCAUGGCGACGAUAGAUAGGGGUCCUGAGAGGGAGAUCCCCCACACUGGUACUGAGACACGGACCAGACUCCUGCGGGAGGCAGCAGUGAGGAAUAUUGGACAAUGGGCGAGAGCCUGAUCCAGCCAUGCCGCGUGCAGGAAGACGGUCCUAUGGAUUGUAAACUGCUUUUANACAGGAAGAAACACUCCCUCGUGAGGGAAUUUGACGGUACUGUAUGAAUAAGCACCGGCUAACUCCGUGCCAG